GAGUCAUCACCAACUAGAUAUAGCUCGAUGAAGCUAUAUAUGAUAAGAGGCGUAUCCAAGAUUUACAGUAUAUGUUUGAAAAUGGUAUCAUUAGUUGGCCUUGCAUGUUGGUACAGGAAGUAAGAGUUGCAGCCAAGGAUGACUUGCCGACUCUUGAAUUAACAGUAAAUGGUAUUAUUCAUACGAUGGGACUUGAAAGAGAAAAGUUGGCAAGUGGUCCUUGGCUACAUUUUUCUUUCUGCCCCUCAAGCCAGGUCUUUGGUGAACAUAAGAUUAAUUAAGGCAGCUUCUACAAAACCAUGGUAAUGCCUUCCCACUUUUCUGUAUCCUUAUUGCUAUAUACAUUUUUAGUACUCAAGAUUCAUAAAUAUAUUUGCAAAACGUGUAUUGCCUCUCAGUUUUUCUUUCAACAUCUUUUACCCUAUGUAUGUUAGUGUUUAACUACCUUUUUUUUUUUUUUUCCUUCAAAAGAUACACACACUGAUAGAGAAACAUAUAAAUUGCAUAUCACACAUUGCAAGGACUUUCUAAUAGAUUUUGUCGCUAGUUAGUCUUGAGCAAGAUGCAUUAGACAUCAAAAUUUUACUAAAUUUAAGUUGAGCCACUACAAGACAAGCCCAAUCCAUUGUCUUCAACCUCAGAAGUUUAUUAAGGAUCUCUUGGAGGCUACUCUAACCAUAAACUAGCUCACGCUUCUAUGAAGGGGUACAUAUUCCCUUGGAAAGGCAUCUCCAAAAUUCCAUAAAAUCAUAAAAUAUUCAUAAAGAGAUCAAGACAUCAAAUACUAUCUUUCUCAAAGCCAAGGAGAUCAAUAGAGGUCUUCCCGAAGAUCAACUCAAAAGACCGAAGUAUUGUCCAACAUUCUUGACGAUCAAAUACACCUCAAGGAGGUCCAAAUCAUAUUAAAUUCGAGAGAUGCUACUAAUGGCCCUCGAAUGACGAAGAAAAUUUAGGAGAGAAGAAUCAAGGGAAUACAACAAAUUUUACCGAUACAAUCUUGAUAAAUAAAAUCACUUUUUUAUUUGCUUUAUGAUUGCUGUUUAAUUUACAUACAUACAAAAACUUGUUGUAAACAGCUUUAUUACAAAAUAGAGGGGGGAUUCAUUAUCACAAAAUAUUAUGUUCGAUAGCCAUGUGUGAUAAAGAGUCUACAACUAUAUUAUCCUCCCUGUAGGUGUGACUCAAGCAUAUAUGGUCUUCCUUCCUAGUUACCAGAUCAAGUAGUAGGGACCUGCAUUGAGAUAUUAAGUGAGAGUAUCUUUGUGUUUGAGUACCUGCAACAACUGAAGUACAACCUGAAGGCAUUGCUUCACAUCUUUUGAUCCUCAUCUGGAUUCAAGACAAUAAUAUUUUAUUUAAUACUUUAUCUGUACUUCCUUCAACUAAAACAUAAUUUGCUUGAGUAGAAAUAAAAAUCAGAAUCUAAAUUCUUAUUCUCA
Lycium ferocissimum is the source of this 1439-nucleotide long non-coding RNA. RefSeq lists it as uncharacterized. The record is from RefSeq and is a predicted model, not a curated record. Lineage: Eukaryota; Viridiplantae; Streptophyta; Magnoliopsida; Solanales; Solanaceae. The transcript has 2 exons.